AACGAACGCUGGCGGCAUGCCUAACACAUGCAAGUCGAACGAGACCUUCGGGUCUAGUGGCGCGCGGGUGCGUAACGCGUGGGAACCUGCCCUUAGGUUCGGAAUAACUCCCCGAAAGGGGUGCUAAUACCGGAUAAUGUCUUCGGACCAAAGAUUUAUCGCCUUUGGAUGGGCCCGCGUUGGAUUAGCUAGUUGGUAGGGUAAAAGCCUACCAAGGCGACGAUCCAUAGCUGGUCUGAGAGGAUGAUCAGCCACACUGGGACUGAGACACGGCCCAGACUCCUACGGGAAGCAGCAGCGGGGAAUAUUGGACAAUGGGCGAAAGCCUGAUCCAGCAAUGCCGCGUGAGUGAUGAAGGCCUUAGGGUUGUAAAGCUCUUUUACCCGGGAUGAUAAUGACAGUACCGGGAGAAUAAGCUCCGGCUAACUCCGUG
This 433-nucleotide ribosomal RNA is filed under the name uncultured bacterium. RNAcentral describes it as "partial 16S ribosomal RNA". It matches the Rfam family "Bacterial small subunit ribosomal RNA", at positions 29 to 507 of the family's 1533-position model. The record is from RNAcentral.